Molecule: transfer RNA, 94 nt
Filed under: bacterium BMS3Abin07
Lineage: Bacteria
Also listed under: 1 other name
Description: tRNA-Tyr
Source: RNAcentral
AUCGGCGUUACCAUAGUUGGCGCAAUGGCCUCGGCCAUAGGCGGAGCGACCGCAGUUAAGGUCAUCCAGCCGGUUCUAUCCCGGGUGCCGGUUC